Molecule: long non-coding RNA, 1953 nt
Organism: Engraulis encrasicolus (European anchovy)
Lineage: Eukaryota; Metazoa; Chordata; Actinopteri; Clupeiformes; Engraulidae
Exons: 4
Source: RefSeq, a predicted model, not a curated record
UUCACUUUCACGGCUUUCAAUGCAGUUAAGUUCAAGAGAACUAUAGUUUGGUGAUAUGGAUCCCAAACGGAAGGGAACAGCAGCGGUUUGUAGUUGUAGAGAACUAAUUAGCGCUAAGAGUUGUUAAAGGGACAGUUUGGUCAAUUUCAACAUGCAGUUGUAAUGCUCACACUACCCUGGACUUGUCAGUGCCUGAGAUUUUUUUUUCUUCUUCUUCAGCUGUUUCCGAGAUCCUGGUCAUUGUAAUGGGGGCAGCUCUUUGUUUACAUUUCAAAAAAACAUUUUUAUUUAUUCCCAAAAACAUCCAAAAGGUUAUAAAACAUCAGCAGACAACUAGCAAACAGCAGUACCUUUUGGGAAAAUAUUUGGAGUUGGCCUAGGUUUCAUUUUUUAAAAAUGUAAACAAACGCUGCCCCCAUUAGAAUUGCUCAUAUCUCGGAAAGGGCUGAGCCGAAAAAUGUGCCAUCACCAGGUACUGACAAGUCAAGGGUAGCGUGAGCAAUACAACUGCAUGUUGAAAUUGACCAAACUGUCCCUUUAACCUGUUGUUUCUUGUUUACCUGUCACAGUAGCCCAUAGCACUUUUGUCAUAGAGAGCAACUUGGUCAGUAAAUAUCUGCCUGCUGUAUAAAGUAGCAGUAUUUGGAUAAGUUACAGCUAACACGGACGGCGAACUUUAGACUGUAUAUUGUGUGUUUGACAGAUUUCUGACAGCGACAGCGAUGGUGAGGGAAGCAGUGUACCGAACUCUCAGAUGACUCGGACCAGGUGACCAAACCCAUGCAAAACACAAUGGAGAUUAACAAGAGGCUGGAUGCUGCGUCCAUCACCAGAGGGGCCGGGAUUGCUGCGGCAGCUAGCCAAUUAAAGGAGGAGGAUGAAGGAGAGGAGUCUGACGAUGCAGACAUCGCCAUCGUAUGCAGGCCACGCCCUCGCAGGAAAACCAGCCAAUGAAAACGCUCGCAGCAGCAUCAGCAGAACACACCGGCACGACUGACAGAGCUUCUGAAGCAUGCAGUGGAAGAGCUGUCAGUCAAGCUAAAGGUCCCGCCCUCCAACCUGCUGCUGCUGCACGGAGAGGCGGAACUUAACACCUCACACACUAUUGGCCAGCUAGGACUCUGCAUCGCUGACAUCAUUGUCUGGAACCAACUUCACAUCCCUCUUCACUGCACUACUGACACUGAGAUGGAAUCCACAACCCAACCACUAGUGGUCUGCAUUGGGAACCUGAAGACUCUGUCAUCACCACCAGGAGUGACCGCGUUUCCAUUCCCGUUGCAGACGGCCUGACUUGCACAAUUGACAAGCUGUUCAAGCUUUACUGGGUCUGCAACUUGUCAUAUCCAGCACAGCUCAGCUCUGUUUUCACCUUCUUUGAAUAUGUUUAUGACGUUCCAUCUCAACCAACAAACGACCAAAGGUACUAGAACUUCUCUCAAAGCUUCCCAGCAACCCAGUGAUCACUCAACAUGUGUUUAUGCCCAAGUACACGCUUUGUCAGAUGCACAGGGCAUGACGAUAAUAUGCAGCCAAGAUGGCUGUUCAAGUGUACAAGGACUUACUACGUAGACACCACCAGUCCACAACAACAGAAAUGGGUGUAUCUUUCAAUGACUCUUUUGAAUCCACUGACAUUCAGACAACCUAUGCAGCUUCAAGUAACACCUGAAGAAAGAGCAUUUUGUGUUCCUUCUCAAGGACAGAUUCUCUAUAAUUUACCACUUAAUGACAAUUUAUCUGUGUUCAUGCUUGUUAGGAUUAUUACUGAGAAUUAUUUUGAUUAUCAUUUUGGCAACACUUUAUUUUAGCAUUACAUCUAUUAGCUCUAAUACAUACAGUAUUAAUGCCUGUAUGCUCUAAGUAACUUGUAAGGCAUGCACUAAGCAAAAUCAAAUAUAUGUUAGGCAUGUAUUCGCAAAUUACUUGUUCAUGCACAAUUAGGGAUUUAUU